This 460-nucleotide ribosomal RNA is filed under the name uncultured bacterium. RNAcentral's name for it is "partial 16S ribosomal RNA". It matches the Rfam family "Bacterial small subunit ribosomal RNA", at positions 338 to 795 of the family's 1533-position model. The record is from RNAcentral.
CCUACGGGAGGCAGCAGUGAGGAAUAUUGGUCAAUGGACGAGAGUCUGAACCAGCCAAGUAGCGUGAAGGAUGACUGCCCUAUGGGUUGUAAACUUCUUUUAUGUGGGAAUAAAAUGUUCCACGUGUGGGAUUUUGUAUGUACCAUAUGAAUAAGGAUCGGCUAACUCCGUGCCAGCAGCCGCGGUAAUACGGAGGAUCCGAGCGUUAUCCGGAUUUAUUGGGUUUAAAGGGAGCGUAGGUGGAUUGUUAAGUCAGUUGUGAAAGUUUGCGGCUCAACCGUAAAAUUGCAGUUGAAACUGGCAGUCUUGAGUACAGUAGAGGUGGGCGGAAUUCGUGGUGUAGCGGUGAAAUGCUUAGAUAUCACGAAGAACUCCGAUUGCGAAGGCAGUUCACUGGACUUCAACUGACACUGAGGCUCGAAAGUGUGGGUAUCAAACAGGAUUAGAUACCCCGGUAGUC